GUUCACAUUCUAUUGAAUCGGUUUUGCAUAAGCUGUUUCUUGCUAGCCCAUCAGUCUUGUGUUUUUCUUGGCACUUUUUGUUUUUAGAGUAUAUUGGUUAUGUGUAGUGAAGUAUAUUGUUUAUCCUGAAAAUCACAUUUGUCAAAGCACUAUUCAGGUUAUCAAGUGCUUCACAUUCGGGAACAAAGGAACUCUUUCUACAACUUUCUCAUGACUGCCAAGUUUGUCAAUAGUUCAUUUCCUUCUUUCGUUUUAUUUCAGUGUACUUCUUUCAAACAAGAAUCUGUGUGACUACUUCUAUUUUUAGAAGCGCUUGGAUAAGCUUAUCAUUAUCG
Molecule: unclassified non-coding RNA, 335 nt
Filed under: Hevea brasiliensis (rubber tree)
Lineage: Eukaryota; Viridiplantae; Streptophyta; Magnoliopsida; Malpighiales; Euphorbiaceae
Source: RNAcentral